RNAcentral lists this non-coding RNA (377 nucleotides) under Pan troglodytes (chimpanzee). RNAcentral also lists the same sequence under 1 other name. Lineage: Eukaryota; Metazoa; Chordata; Mammalia; Primates; Hominidae. The record is from RNAcentral.
AUAUUCAUAGUAAUUCAGAAUAACUACAGAAACCAAAAUAUCUAAGUAUUUAGUUUUGUUAUUGAAACUUAGAACUAGCUUUGCUCCAGUGAUGGACUGUAGAAAAAUAAAAGCUCUGAGUCUAACAUUUUAAGUAAACUUACUUGGAUAUGAAAAUAAAUGGACUUUUAGACUUACUGACAAAUGUUACGUGUUCUCCCUGCUCUCUAUCCUCUCCCCAGAAUAUUAGAAUAAUGGCCAAGUAUUAUACUCGGAUAACAAUGAAAAGGAUGGCACAGCUUCUGGAUCUAUCUGUUGAUGAGUCCGAAGCCUUUCUCUCAAAUCUAGUAGUUAACAAGACCAUCUUUGCUAAAGUAGACAGAUUAGCAGGAAUUAUC